CGAACAUCCAGGCUUACUGCAAGCCACCGGUGCUGGUAAACUUAGGAAGUGUGGAAUAGACAAGUGGAGCAUCUCCUGUAUGAGAAAAGGCUGAGAGACCUGGGCUGUUCAGCAUGGAGAAGGGAAGACAGAGGAGAUCUUAUCAAUGCCUACCCCCCAGGUGCUCCAGGUGGCUACAGCACAGCUUCGAGUAUCGACCUGCUGUUAUCAGCUCCCACUUUAUCAGGAAGGGGCCUGCUCCACGCUGAGCACCUGCCCCAUCAAUCUUCCCCCGUCCCUCAGUGCAAGGACCCAGCUGAGUCAGAGCGGCAGCAACGGGGACAAUACGGCCGCGUGUCCUGGGCUGGCACCUGAAGGCUUCAUGAGUGAUGGACGGGCACCAGGUUCUGGCUGCAGACAUGCCUUGAUUUGCUCUUCUGUCUGGCAGUACAAACUCUCUCCACUGCUUUCCCCAUAGAGUACAGCCCUGGCCCAGACGGGCGGCAUUCCCCCUCACACCGCUUGGGAUCUCCUUU
This is a long non-coding RNA of Gallus gallus (chicken), 515 nucleotides long. Lineage: Eukaryota; Metazoa; Chordata; Aves; Galliformes; Phasianidae. The record is from Ensembl.